Molecule: regulatory RNA element, 84 nt
Rfam family: c-di-GMP-I riboswitch aptamer
About the family: GEMM was predicted in a large-scale screen for bacterial structured RNA regulatory elements. Genes associated with GEMM are involved in a diverse array of functions, including chemotaxis regulation, signal transduction, secretion and chitin.
Source: Rfam
ACAUUACAAAGGCAAACCCAUCAAAAGAUGGCGACGCAAAGCUAAAGGGGCUAAAGCAUUAUGCCAUGCCAGCCAGUUGCAAUG